ACGCUCGACACCUACUGGAGGCAGCAGUCGGGAAUAUUGCGCAAUGGAGGGAACUCUGACGCAGUGACGCCGCGUAUAGGAAGAAGGUUUUCGGAUUGUAAACUAUUGUCGUUAGGGAAGAGAAAGGACAGUACCUAAGGAGGAAGCUCCGGCUAACUACGUGCCAGUAGCCGCGGUAAUCUGAGCGGGCUGGCAAGGC
Molecule: ribosomal RNA, 199 nt
Filed under: uncultured bacterium
Lineage: Bacteria
Description: partial 16S ribosomal RNA
Rfam family: Bacterial small subunit ribosomal RNA
Source: RNAcentral